UGGGUAACCUGCCUCAAAGAGGGGAAUAGCCUCCCGAAAGGGAGAUUAAUACCGCAUAAUAUGUUUUAAUCGCAUGAUUUUAACAUCAAAGGAUUUUCUUAGGAAAUUCCACUUUGAGAUGGACCCGCGGCGCAUUAGCUAGUUGGUGAGGUAACGGCUCACCAAGGCAACGAUGCGUUGCCGACCUGAGAGGGUGAUCGGCCACAUUGGAACUGAGACACGGUCCAGACUCCGUAGGGACGG
Molecule: ribosomal RNA, 243 nt
Filed under: uncultured bacterium
Lineage: Bacteria
Description: partial 16S ribosomal RNA
Rfam family: Bacterial small subunit ribosomal RNA
Source: RNAcentral